RNAcentral lists this long non-coding RNA (899 nucleotides) under Ananas comosus (pineapple). RNAcentral describes it as "long non-coding RNA (ACOM_LNC033767)". The record is from RNAcentral. Lineage: Eukaryota; Viridiplantae; Streptophyta; Magnoliopsida; Poales; Bromeliaceae.
GCCCCUCAUUCUCUCUCCUCGUUAUCUUUGAACAUCGCCAUCUCUCUCUCUCUCUCUCUCUCAUUCUCUCUCUCUCUCUCUCUUGCGCGCACACUCUCAGACCUACGAUUUGAUACUCUUCAUCGAUUCGCCCCAAACCCUAAUCCCUUUCUCCAUUCCUCAGCCUUCCGCCUCACUGCUGCAAACCUCAGCCUCGUCCUUGUCAGCCGCAACUCCGUCAAACUCCGCAACGUCGCCGCUGCCGUUCGCUCCCGCAGCCCGAAAAGGAAGAGAAAGAGGAAGACGACAAAAAUGUCAUUUUACAUACCUACUGUUAAAAAAUAAACAGUUUUCUAACGGAUCCUAACUAGACGAACAUAUCUGAAUAUAUUAGGACUUUUGCAGGAAUAACUUAUGAAAGUUGAACUUUGUAGAGAUAUAUCUGCAAUUCACCAUAUUUGCGGGGACCUGCAUGCAAUUAACCCAAAAAAAAUGAUGUGUCGGAUGUAACGAGAACGUCCAAACCCUACGACAUGACACGCGUAUCAAGACCAUCAACCGAUCAAGGCCUACACGCUAAUAGUAAUAAUAAUAGUCAGGAUCGAAAGCUAAUUUUUGAUACCAAUUAAAACAAUCGACCCGCUAGCAAUAAUAACUCGUUGGGUUCAAACUAUCGGUCCAAAAUGCUUGAACCCAGUUAUUAUUAGUAGCGUGUAGGCUUCGUAUAUUCUAAUCAGAAUUAUUUUUCCAUCCAAUGUGGGAUUGUUGGGGUAUUAUAAACUACUUUAUAUAGUGCUGGUAUUAAAAAAAUUUCCCACAACCCCUCAAAGGAUUGUUAGGGUAUUAUAUUUGACCCAACGAAUUAUUAUUGUUACCCGGUCGGAUCAUUACAUAUUUUUACAUAAAACUAAAAUUUAGUA